GUUCGAUUAUGGCUCCAUGAUUGAACGCUGGCGGAUGCUUUACACAUGCAAGUCGGGCGGCAGCACAGACUUCCGGUCUGGUGGCGAGUGGCGAGCAGGUGAGUAAUGUAUCGGAACGUGCCUAAUGUGAGGAUAACUACGCGAAAGCGUAGCUAAUACAUACGCCCUUCGAGGAAAGCGGGGACCUUCGGGCCUCGCACUGGCCAGAGCAGCCGAUAUCGGAUUAGCUGAGUUGGUGGGGUAACGGCUCACCAAGGCGACGAUCAUCAGCUGGUUUGAGGACGACUAACCACCACUGGGACUGGGGCUGGCCCCAAGACUCUACGGAGGCAGCAGUGGGAAUUUUGGACAAUGAAACUGGUCAGCCAUCCCGCGUGUGUGCGAUGAAGGCCUUCGGGUUGUAAAGCACUUUUGGCAGGAAAGAAACGGCACGGGAUAAUACCCCGUGCAACUGACCGACCGCCUGCAGAAUAAGCACCGGCUAACUACGUGCCAGCAGCCGCGGUAAUACGUAGAGGUGCAAGCGUUAAUCAGGUACUGGAGGCGUAAAGCGUGCGCAGGCGGUUCGGAAGAAAGAUGUGAGAAAUCCCAGAGCUUAACUUUGGACUGCGUACGCUACCGAGCUGAGAGUGUGUCAGAGGAGUGAAUUCGCAUUAGCAAGCAGUGAAAUGCGUAGAUAUGCGGAGGAACACCGAUGGCGAAGGCAGCCUCCUGGGAUAACACUGACGCUCCUUGCACGAAAGCGUGGGGAGUAAACAGGAUUAGAUGCCCUGGUAGUCCACGCCCUAAACGUGUCAACUAGCUGUUGGGGCCUUCGGGCCUUGGUAGCGCAGCUAACGCGUGAAGUUGACCGCCUGGGGAGGCACGGUCCCGCAGAUUAAAACUCAAAGGAAUUGACGGGGACCCGCACAAGCGAGGGCCCGGAUGAUGUGGAUUAAUUCGAUGCAACGCGAAAAACCUUACCUACCCUUGACAUGUCUGGAAUCCCGAAGAGAUUUGGGAGUGCUCGCAAGAGAACCGGAACACAGGUGCUGCAUGGCUGUCGUCCAGCUCGUGUGAGAUGUUGGGUUAAGUCCCGCAGCAGGCGCAGCCCUUGUCGUGGAUUGCUACGAAAGGGCACUCUAAUGAGACUGCCCAGGUGACAAUCGGGGAAGGUGGGGAUGACGUCAAGUCUCAUGGCCCUUAUGGGCAGGGCUUCACACGUCAUACAAUGGUCGGAACAGAGGGUCGCCAACCCGCGAGGAGCCAAUCAGGAAACCCGAUCGUAGUCCGGAUCGCAGUCUGCAACUCGACUGCAGCAAGUCCAGAUCGCUAUUAAUGCGGAUCAGCAUGUCGCGGUGAAUACGUUCCCGGGUCUUGCCACCGCCCGUCACACCAUGGGGUGGGUUUUAAGAAGUAGUUAGCCUAACCGUAAGGAGGCAGGAGUGCCACGGUAAGUUCAUGA
RNAcentral lists this ribosomal RNA (1444 nucleotides) under uncultured Bordetella sp. RNAcentral describes it as "partial 16S-23S ribosomal RNA intergenic spacer". It matches the Rfam family "Bacterial small subunit ribosomal RNA". Lineage: Bacteria; Pseudomonadati; Pseudomonadota; Betaproteobacteria; Burkholderiales; Alcaligenaceae. The record is from RNAcentral.